GAUGAACGCUGGCGGCGUGCCUAAUACAUGCAAGUCGAGCGAACAGACGAGGAGCUUGCUCCUCUGACGUUAGCGGCGGACGGGUGAGUAACACGUGGAUAACCUACCUAUAAGACUGGGAUAACUUCGGGAAACCGGAGCUAAUACCGGAUAAUAUAUUGAACCGCAUGGUUCAAUAGUGAAAGACGGUUUUGCUGUCACUUAUAGAUGGAUCCGCGCCGCAUUAUCUAGUUGGUAAGGUAACGGCUUACCAAGGCAGCGAUGCGUAGCCGACCUGAGAGGGUGAUCGGCCACACUGGAGCUGAGACACGGUCCAGACUCCUACGGGAGGCAGCAGUAGGGAAUCUUCCGCAAUGGGCGAAAGCCUGACGGAGCAACGCCGCGUGAGUGAUGAAGGUCUUCGGAUCGUAAAACUCUGUUAUUAGGGAAGAACAAAUGUGUAAGUAACUAUGCACGUCUUGACGGUACCUAAUAAGAAAGCCACGGCUAACUACGU
RNAcentral lists this ribosomal RNA (496 nucleotides) under uncultured bacterium. RNAcentral's name for it is "partial 16S ribosomal RNA". It matches the Rfam family "Bacterial small subunit ribosomal RNA", at positions 28 to 506 of the family's 1533-position model. The record is from RNAcentral.